GAAAGGUACAACUCAAAAGCCCUACUAUAAUUGAACUAGAAUAAAUGAUAGACACAUGGAACUGGUUCUUUUAUCUGGUUCAUGUAGCUUCAGGUUCACAUUUUUGAAUCACAUAGGAAUUACUUGCAAAAUAUCUUGUUAUUUUGCUCUCAAUUCUUGCUUAACUUCAGCGUAUAUGCGGCACAAGUAAAAGAGAACAUCACUGAUAUAUAUAGAGUUGGUAAGAUUAGGAUUAACUAGAAACUUGAUGCUUCACUUUUCCUUGGUGGAAGAGUUCUAGUUAACUUCAAUAUCUAAUUCUUUCCUUAUGUAGGAUAGAGUUCUCUUCAAGUAAGGAGUCAUGCUCCUUUUCGAUUAUGCAAGAUUUUUGUUUAGGGAUUAUCAGAUAUAGCCACUUAUACGUAUCCCUUGCACGUGCAUGCAUUUUGCUUAAAUCUGACCGUGCCCUGUGUACACCGUUCACGGACCUAUUUCAUUCAUGUGUUCCUUUGACAAUCAUCAAAACCAAAAUAACUCGGGCCAACAAUAUGGCUUUAGGCCCUCGUUAGGCAAGUAGAGCUCUUUUGCUGCUCUCUCAAUAGUCUUCUUUCCUGCCUUUGGAGUUGAUGAAAUGGACAAUUCACACAGAGCUAGUUAGUGGGUAAGAUCAAAUAGAUCUCUUAUCUGAAAGCUAACCUUUUUGCUGUGGCAUGCUCCUCAGAUUUACGGAUUCGCUGGGGCCUUAGGUUCUACUUAGUUUCGCAAGCCUAAAGCUAAGAUCAAAGGCGAGGUAGGAAAUGCCCCGCACGAACUAUCUAAUCAAGUUUUCUUUUACCUAUCACAAGCAGUGGCAAAGCCGUGUUUGUUCGUUGCAUUUCAAGCACCUUCCUUCACUCGAAUGACAUGGUUAUGGGGUUUUACAUGUGGAUCAAAGUUUUUUUCUACUUUUUUUGUUGGAGAAGCUUUGAGUGGUUUGAGAAGCUGAAGAAUGAGACUUUAGCAGAGUUAACAGCUCGAUUGGUUAAUUGAGAGCGAGAAAUACCAAGCGAUUUGAUGGCUUGAGCCUUGAAUUGAUAGAGAGAAACAUAGAGUAAAAGCAAUACUUAUUGGAGACAAGAUUCAAUUGGUCUAGAAGUUGAGAGAAAUUUGUGAUAAGAAAGAGCGUACCAUUAUUUUAUUCGACCUUGAUACGACGUGAAAUACCUUAUAAUGUAACAGAAUGUCCUAAACCACAGUGUAACUCCAAAACUGUUGUCAAUCGAUUUUGAAGCUCUAAAACCUCUGAUUUAGGUGACAUUAUAAUAUAUUUCUAAUGAGGGUUAACGGAGACAUGGGAUAACAGAAAGAUCAGUUGAAUGCCACUACCUAAGAGUCGCUCCGAUAUAUCAAGCCUUACCAAUUAAAGAUUAAUUGAUCGAGUCAAAUGAUAAAGACACUAAUUAAUAAUAACUAAACUUUGCAAUUACCAAAUCCUAAUGUGAUCAAACAUGGAAAAGAUGUAUAAUUGAUGGUGCAUGAAAUUCACAAACUUACAGAAAGUCAUGAAAUUCACAAACUUACAGAAAGUUUCUUGCCAAAUUACCAACAUCACAAAGAAAAGGGAUUUAAAACCACUCAGAGUUGCAUCGUCUCUGGAUAACAAUCCAUGAGGACUUACAGAGACGUGCAAUGUUAUUUAGUGUCUUGCAUGAAGAAUAAAUUUCUCUUGUUUUUACUAAGCUUUCCAUCUAAGCAAUACUUAUGUAAAGAGAUUUCAAGUGUCUCAUCUCACAUCUCACUUAUGAGAGAAGCAGUAGCAUUAGUUUCAACUGAACUGUCCCAAACACCACCAGAGACCCCAAAGUUGAGAUUAUAUUUGGGCUGCUUGUUGGGGGAAAACAAUCCAAAAUGUUUCUCCAGUUCAGGGUUCUUGUUGUUCUCAUCAAACAUGGCAAAUAUAUAGGUCUCAAUAGGUCCAGGCUUUCUUGGGCUACCCUCUUUAGCGUGUUGAAUUAAGUUCCUCAAGUAAGUUGCUGCAUUGUCAUAUGUAGCUCCAAAUGCACCAGCAGAUGGCCAGCCACUCUCGGACACAACAAUCCCUACAGAUGCCCCUCCUGAUCGCUCGAGGGCAGCAUACACAGAAUCCAGCAUUGCAUCAAAUAAGUUCCUAUAUUGGCGUGAACCAUCUUGUACUACCACAUUUGGUGCUGUAAAAAGAGAAUAGGGGAGAGAAAUCUGCCCUGGAUUACCAGAAUAGCUGAAAUAGGGGUAAAUGUUAACGAGUAAAGGUGCACGUGUGUCCCUUAAGAACCCAACAAUUGGAUCAGUAAACCACCUAGCAUCGUUCCUAAACGAACCCUGUGAUGGUGGAUAAGAGUUUCCAAUCAAGGUCAUGUCUACAGAAGUUGAGACCUUGAUGUUGUUUCCUAAACCAGCUUCACCAAUUGCUUUGUAAAUAUUUACCAUGGCAGGAGUAAGAAAUGAGGUAAGGUAAGAUGUGCCUGUGACAGGGCUGAUUUCAUUCCCAACAGCAAUAUACUUAAUCUUAACAUCUGGCCAGAAAUCUUUAACAUUCUUUUGUACCCACCAUCUUGCAUGUUCCAUUCCGGAAGCAAUGUGCUUGACAUCUGAAUUGGGAAGUCCUAACAUAACUUCAAUGUUUGAGCCUUUUAAUGCUUGUAAAGCUCCAUGAUUUGGAUCAUAAAGCCUCAGUCUUCCUAUGUUUCUUGACUUGUAGAGCUGUAUAACUUCCCAAUGAUUUGGCAAGUUGUUGCCUAGCAUUCCAUAGCAAACACCUAUUGAUUGAGCCCCUGCUCAAUAAGAAUUAGAAUUAGUGUUAGAAACUAAAUCAAUUAUGUAAUUCUUGAAAAGUUAAAAACUUACAGUAGACAUGGUAGGUCCCUCCACUAGGGGAUGAUGUAACCAUUUUAAUUUAUGUGACAUAAUUUAAUUCGGCACAAAGUUUAAGAAAAAGAAGAAUGUGAAAAUUGUGUUAUUAAACAUGCUAUAAUAUUUGUACAGACUAUAAGAUAUUUGGAACUUGUAGUCUAAUAUGUUCCAUAAUAUUUGUGAUGUUAUAAAAGGUUGAGAAUAAAAAGUUUAAAGUUAAAAUAUUUUUAAAUAUCAAAUAUGUCAUUCUCUUUGGAAGAAACUAACAGAAAGUGUGUCACAUAAAUUAGAACAGAGGGAAUAUGUGUUAUGUGUUAAUACGAACCUAAUAGCUUUGACUCAGGUCGGUGUAUGUGUUAAAAGAUUUACUAUACAACUAAUAGACGUCUAGCCAAUAAAUCAAAUGGACACUAGUCUAAACUCAUAAAUUUCAAAUUUUAGAUUCACCGCCCUCCCCUCAAAUUUGAAAAGCUUGUGAGUGAGUGUUACCCGAAAAAAGAGCAAAUAACUAUCGCUAAAUGAAUAUAGUGCAAGUAAAUUUGAGAAAAAAACACAAGCAAUUUGAUAAGAAAAAUAAGCAAAUAACUAUCAACUAAAUUAAGAUUUUGCACCAACAAAAUUAUAAGACAAUAUUUUUGGCUCGGAAGUUCAAAUAUUUGACCAGAAACCUGCUAUCUCAAUGGUGCUGGCAACAAGUAGUAAUCCUAGCAGUGUGAUAGCAGCCAUUUGAGGAGUAUUAUGUUUAUCUGAGGUAGACAUGAUGAGAAGACUUGUUGGAAGAAUUAAGAUGAACAAUGAGCUAUUUAUAUUGAGAUAGCCUUGUGUAAAUGUAAAUAUUCGAGUGGAAUAUUAUUGGAGUAUUUGUUAUUCGUAGGCUAAUGAAGUUAAGAGCCGCCCCGGCUGACCUGGCUAUUAACAUGUCAACUUGAUCAUUUUGUGGAAAAAAGAAAAUGAGUUUGAUGAUGUACAAGUUUUAUAUUUUCUCCAAAGGUGCCGUACUAUCUUGACUUUACAAAAGAAAUUAUAGCUAGUUACUUUCUUUCAUCCUGCACAACCAGAUGAAUAGCUGCUUAAUCAUCGUUACAAAUAAUAAAAUCUUCUGUAGUAUCUCCAUGUUUGUGGUAAAUACUUAGCGAUAUCUAUUGUUUAUAUUAAAUCAAGUAAUUUAAUAUUUUCAAUUCAAAUUUAAAAUAAAAUUCAUAUCAUUUAACUAUAAGUAAGUAAGUAAUAAAUAUUGGUCGUAUUUUGAAUUCCCUUAAAAGUAGUUGAGAGAUUUGAAAGUUCUCUAAAACUUUCAUUUGAGUAUACAAUAGAAGAUUGUAGAGUGGCUCGCUGUAUCUUAAGAGUAAGAUGUCAUUUUGCUAUUGCACCAGAGCAAUGAAUGAGAAUCUACUUUGAAGACAACGCCUUCCAUAAGAGUGUCUCGAACCGUUUUUUUUUUUCCUAUUUAAAACUCUAUCUUAUCUUUUAUUAUUAACGGUACAUCUUUUAUUGUAUCUUAAGUGCUCCAUAUCUAAUAUUUUUAAAUUAUAUGAAUUGAUUUAAUGAAAAUUUUCUAACUUCUUACUGCAUUUAUUGAGGAUACUGGAUUCUCAUGAAGACUAACCGAUCAUUUGGUAAAAUAGUGAGAUAAAUAAGGAUAUUCUAUGUGAGUGGCUAUGGGAUUAGCUAUUCCAUUCCACCUUCUACAUGUGAUAGUUGAUUUUACUAUUUUAGUGUAAAAUUUAUUCUGAAAUUAGCUAAUACUUAUAAUUAAACACAAGAUAAAUGCAAUCUCAAAUUCUAUCCCGAAAUUAUUAUUAUUAUUUCUUGUACCAAACGACCCCUUAGUGAAUAUGGCAUGCAGACUCUGAAAAGGCCAAUGAAUCAGUAACCGGAUUCAUUGUCUUCUUUAGAGGAAAAUUUUAUGAUUUGCUGUACCUGUUUAAUUUCUUAAUAUUAGUUGAGAUGUAAAUUAGGAGAUAAACUUAGAAAUAUCCCAUAUCUGGAAGCUCAGAACCUAGCAGCCCCAAGUUGCAGCAAAGUAUUGGAAGAGUUUUGGCACUUACGUGCCAAUCGAGAGUCCUAAAAUUCAUUAUUUUAAUGGCGGCUUUUAUUUGAUCGGUCUUAUUUUACUGGCGGCUCUACUGAGGAGGCAGCUAAGAUGAUGGACUUUGAAGUUAUUAUUAUAAUAAUGAUAUCUUGAUAGUGUUUUGUCAACUAACUAUAAUUAAAGAAAGCUACUUGCCGAUAAUGGACCAUUUGGAAUUUCGGAUGGGAUAUUUUAUGUUUUUGUGACCAAAAGAUAUAAGGGCAAAAUAGUCAAAUUUGCCCCUUUGUUAAUUCAAAUUGAGUAACUAUUACAAACACUUGGUAUAAUAUUUUUCCAUUUAGCAAAAAGUUUUGCCCUUGCCCCCCAAGGGAGCUCCAAUCUUGGAUGGCAAAUGGGAUAGUGCAGGGCGGGCCGGGACAGGGCAAGCUUUGACCCGCUAAGAUUUUGACCUGCGUUGUCCUGCCCCAUUUAGCUUUUUUUCAAAAUUUUGUCAUGCCCUGCCCCGCCUUGCCCUAUUUAAGUUUUUUUUUUAUCCUAUCCCUCUUUCUUUUUUUGUCCCACUAUCCACAGUAACAACCCCUUAAUCUUUAAAAAUAACAGCUUCUCUGAAUUUUCUUUCUUACAGUGAAUAGGGUCUUUUUUAGAAGAGUGUCAUCGUUAUUUAUAGAUGUAAGAAACUGGAACAAAUUUGUAGUUAAAUCUUCUCUGCCAUUUUUAUUUCUUCAUCUUACUUAUGAAUAGCAUGAUAAACUAGAAAUAAAAACUUAAUCCCUCACAACUUUUUAGCUACACUAGCAUCUUGUUCUAGAUAUAUACAAUUAAGUUGUGAUGAUUGAAACUCUAGCAUUUUGAUUUGAUUUUGGUUUAAUUUCUAAAAUUAUUGGUCUAAAAAUAUGAAGAUAUAUUAAAAGUGUUUGAAUUAAUUUUAAAGUAAUGAAACAUUAACCAAGUCAUAACCAUACAUAACGGUAGAAAAAUUUAAGCAACUAAAUCAAAUGGUAAUAGCCCAUGUAUGCUAUACACAGGCAUCUCGUUAAACGGCCCAGUUUUUAGCCGGCAAACCAAACCCACACAUGCCAUGCCCUUUAAAGUUCUUCAAAAUUUAAGUUUUACCCUCUCCUGCCCCGCCUCGCCCCAUUUUAAAAUUCCCCUGCCCUGCCCCGUUUAGAGUUUUCCCUGCCCCACUCUGCACUUGCUCUGCCCCAUUGCCAUUCCUAAUCUUGGAAAAACUUUUUUAAUCAUAAUCAAAAGUUGAGGGGGUAAAUUUGGACUUUUUGUUAAAGAAUUUGUACAAGAACCAUUCUUUUGUUAUUUGAGAUCUAUUAAUGGAAACGAUAAAUACAAGAUGAUUUCCUGUCACGAUUCAAAAUUCCUCCGAAGGAGUCGUGAUGGCACCUAGUCUCCAAAACUAGGUAAGCCUAACACAUACCGAAAUGAUAACAAAUUCUACUAAACAACUGUUGAACAUGAACCCGAAAUUUCUAAAUAAACCAAUAGUCUCAACAUGAUACAAUAUCCCAAAAUUGACAGUACAAGUCAUAAGCCUUUCUAGGAGUAAUUAUACAUAACGAAUACAUCAUUGUUCCGGAUUAAUAGGAAAUAAUGAAAAUAAUUACAAUAGAAGGUGACUUCGGAACCUGCGAACAUCUAGCAAGUGUACCUUGAAGUCUCCAUCCGCACAAGCAUGAAUCUCAAAACCAACUCGAUCCGAAGUACCUGGUUCAGCACAAAAUGUGCAGAAGCGUAGCAUGAAUACACCACAGUGGUACCCAGUAAGUAUCAAGCCUAACCUCGAUAAAGUAGUGACGAGGCUAGGUCAAGACACCUACUGAACAUGUAAACCUGUGUAGGAUAUGACAUAAAGCUAAUAAGGAAGGAAUAUCAAUGUAAUGCCAAUAGCAGAAAGAAUCGAGAUUACAAACAGUAGUAAAGAUAAAGGGGACACGAAUAGCAACGAGAAAUAACCAAGUAAUUAAGCAGCAACAUAGUCGGGGUACUGAUAUAGUAUAAAUGUGCUCAAGUAGGGAAAACGAUGUCAACUCAACCGAUAAAAUCAUUUCUAAUACACAAUUUCAACAAUCUCACUUCUCGUAAUCUCAUAUCAUAAAUCACAACUUCUAAUCCUUUGAUACACAUGGCACCUUGUACCCAUAUUUUCCAUCUCACUUCGCACGGCAAAAUUCAUGUGCUACUCGGUACAUAAUAUCCGUGACCAAUGAUAAUUAGGAUGUUUAAGAGAUUUUAUUUAUAUAUCGUAAAGUAAAAUUACAAUUUCUGAACCAAGUAGGAAAUCAAUGAGAAAAAUGAGUUUAUUUUAGAAAUUAUUUGGGUGAAAAAAAUAAUAUUUUCAAAUAAAAUACAACAUCGGAUAAGCUAUUGAAUUUAAUAUAGAAUUUAUUAAAUUAAAACAUAAUAACAAUUCCUUAUUAAAUAAAGUAAAAACAUUAGAGAGGGUAAGGAGAUUAAGUUGAGAAAUCAAUUAAAGUAAAAUAUGACAACUAUUAGUAAUGGUAAAGUAUCGAAUAAAACGACGAGUUUUAACGUAAAAGUCACAUAAGGUAAGCAUAUUAUUAAUUCUUUUAUUUAAAAUCGCUAUAUUACUAACAACUCAGCAGGAUAUGAGGUAAUGACUCAGCGUAGUAAAUUCAUCUUGAAAUCAAUUCACCAAAAUAAUAGUAUUAGGAAAAGAAUUAAGAAAAUGACGGUAAAGCAAUAAAUGAAUGACAACAACUCAAUCUUUGGAAAGCAGUGAAAAAUCGGAAAUACAAAUUCUCCGAGUCUCGUACGAACGAAUCGAAGCCAAUACAAUACAACAGGGAAUACAAAAUACAUAAAUUAUUGCGGCGCGCAACCCGAUCCCACCGUACAAUACUAUUCACCCUUAUUCCACCGUGUGAAUAUCAAUAGUAAUAAAUAAAUAUAUGUUGCGGCGCACAACCCGAUCCCACCAUAUAAUCAGAGUCAAUAUCAGAAUUCACUCUUAUUUUAUCAUAUCAAUUCACCCGUAUUUCACCUGUUGCGUCGUGCAACCCGAUCCCACCGUAUCAAUAUCAUAAUAUUAAACAAAAUAUGUUGCGGCACGCAACCCGAUCCCACCAUACAAUCUUAAUAUCAUAAUUCACACUUAUUUCACCAUACAAUUCACCCUUAUUUCACCUGUUGCGCCGUGCAACCCGAUCCCCCGUACAAUAAUUUAAAUCAACAGCAAUAAUUAAAUAACUCAAUUUACAAGAAUCUCUACAAUCAAGGGUAUGAGUACACGGCAAUAAAAGAACCACGUAAAAAUCAAAGGAAUACAACAAACUCUACAAAAAUGACAGGAUAGGUAAGGCACACGAUAACUAGGUAUGCAAUCACAACAAUUAUGACAGGUAGUAGAUAAGCACAGAGUAAUAGAAGAAAUUCAACAAUUAAGAAGUAACAAGACAUUAAGGAAGGUAAUAACUUCAACUAAGGCAUAUAAGGGCCAAAUAGCGAGUAAAAGGUACAAUAAGUACAAACAACGUCAAAUAAAGCAUGUAAGAGUAGACUAACAACGCGAUAUCACACGUUAUGACCAUUCAAUUAAAGGCAUGGGAAGAGACUAGACACUCUGAAACGGUCCAUUACCACAUAUGUGUACCCACUCGUCUCUCUGCGUACACGACUUUCACAUAACAAGAUAGUACAAUUAACUCAAUUCCUAAGGGAUAGUUUCUCCCAUACAAAGUUAGACAAAACACUUAUCUCAAAAAAACUAGACCGAUACUCUAAAAUGACCUGCUCGAGUGAAACAACCUCCGGACGGCUCAAAUCUAGCCAAAAUAACAUCAAAUCAUAAAAAAAAACUCAUAUAAAAUAAUUUCGGAUAAUAAAGUUUCAAUCUUUAACAAAAACUAAAAAGUCAACCCCCGAGCCCAUACCUCAAAACCCGAUUAAAUUUAAAAAACCCAAAUAUCCAUUCCGAUACGAGUUCAACCAUACCAAAAUUUCCAAUUUCCGAUAUCAAUUCAUCCUUCAAAUCAUCAUUUUACAUUUUGAAAGAUUUUACAAAAUUUCCCCAAAUUUCCAACUUAAUUCAGUAAUUAAAUGACGCAAAAUAGCCAUGGAUUCAUGAAAUAUAAUAAGAUUCUAGUAGAGAUAAUUAACCCCAAUGAAUUGCUUGAAAAACCCACAAAAUAUCACCCAAAGCCGAGGUCUACAACUUCCAAAAUGAUAAAAAUGGCUAACCCUCGAAAUAGAGUUCUUAUAAUUCUGCCCAGGCAUUCCUCAUACGCGAUCGUGGAACAAGAAUCCCGAUCGCGAAGUACAAAACUGCUGCCCAGCGAAUACAAGCUUCGCGUUCACGGCACAUACCUUGCGAACGCGAUGAACAAUAAUGCAAGGCUAUGCAAACGCAUCCAUUGUUUUGCAAACGCGUCGAGAAAAUACUCCACCAGCCCCAGUUGCCUUACGCGGACGCGUAAACAAGCACGCAAAUGCGAACAACAAACAACUAGAGCUUUGCGAACGCAUGAGCACCAUCGCGUCCGCGAUGAACAAAUCACAGAUCCCCCAGAACCACUUCACGAUUGCGAAGAACAAACGGGCACACCAGAAACCAGCAACUCAAAGCAUGAAAAAAAUGGCCUGUAGCCCAUCCGAAACACACCCGAGGCCCCCGGGACCCCGUCGAAACAAAUCAACAAGUUCCAUAACAUAACCCGGACCUGCCCGAGGUCUCAAAUCAUAUCAAACAACGUCGAAACUACGCAUUGCACCACGAAUCUAACUUAUGAAUUUUCAAAUCUUCUAACUUCCAAAACUCGCGCCGAAACAUAUCAAAUCAACCCGGAAUGACAUCAAAUUUUGCAUGCAAACUCCAAAUGACAUAACGGAGCUAAUCCAACUCUCGGAAUCACUUUCUGACUCCGAUAUCACCAAAUUUCACUCUCGGUCAAAUCUCUCAACCUUCCAAAACUUCAACUUUCCAAUUUCGCCGAAAUGCUUCAAAUUACCCUACAAACCUCCAAAUCCAAACCCAAAAGCACGCCUAAGUCAAAAAUCACCAUCCGGGCCUAUCGGAACCAUUGAAACUCCAAUCCGAGGUCAAAUACUCAAAAGUCAAACCUUGGUCAAUUCUUUCAACUUCGAGCUUCUCAAAUGAGAGUCACUCCCUAAAAUCCUUUUCGAACCUCUCAAAAAGUCGAACCGAUGAUGCACGUAAGUCAUAAUACACUAUGUAAAGCUACUCAUGACCUCAAACUGCCGAACUGGACGCAAUUGCUCAAAACGACCAGUCGGUUCAUUACAUCGUCCCCCACUUAAACUAUGUUCGUCCUCGAACGUGCCAGGAGUCGUUCCAAAGCUAUCAAAUCACUGCAUGAUCUUACCAUACAUACACCCGGGGUGAUUCCACAUCACCCUAAUCCAUGUAGGCCUGAAAACGCAACUUAACUGAAGAUCUCACUUCAUCUUUAGUCCAUAAAUUUAGGACAGAACCCAACCCUCAACAUCUGAAACUCAUCAUAGUACACGAAUCUCGCAUCAGUACACUAUAUAAACCUGAACAGGCUGAAUCGAGCCACAAUUCCAACCCAAGGUACAAUCACAUGAUGUUCCACACAACUCAAAUGCUUGUAGUAAUAACUUCCGACCACCAUAGCUAUCCUAUAUCAAUCUUGGCACUGGUAAUACAUUUCACAUCGAAUAAGACUUUGUUCCGGACCUCCGCAACUCCGCCCAUGAUAAAGAAACAUGCGGAAACUCAUAACCACCCAUGAAAUAAACAAGUCAAGAAGCUCUCUCGUCCGUACACCAAGCAAGCAGCCCAACUGACAACUCAUCAUGGAACCACAUAGAUCAUCACACAACACGGUUCAUACACUAGACCAGCAAUAACUCAGUUAUGCAGCAAAAAUAGAAGGACAACAAGGUACGAGGACUAUCUAACAAGUACCAUAGAUAUAACAACAAAAGUACAGUUUCAUUAACUCAUCCCACAAAGGGAAAACAAUAACACCAAAUAAACACAAGGAAAGGGUAUCCCACAUAACAUCCGUUGCGGCGUGUAGCCUGGUCCCAAAUAUAUUAAUCCACAUAGGGAUACCCAUCGAGUCAAAGUGCUCGGGUUCACUGAUCACAUGAAUGCUGAUAUCAAGCACAAUAGAGUGCACAAGUAUAACUGUGGAAAAUGGAUAGAAAUAAUACAACAUGGAGGAACGCAAGCACAAGUAAGGUGCAAUGAGCAAAUCAACAUCAUGAGGGCAUCUUGCCCACAUUGCCAUAAGGCCCGAACGGAAUUACAACAUGCGUGGAGAAUAAUCAUACAACCUCACAUCCCAUCAUAGCAUAAGAGAGAGGCACAUAACAUAGGCCAGGGGCACAAAUAAUAUCCAUUCUGCCCGGUAACAUAACUGUGAUAAAAUACACAUUCCCAUUGGGCUUUCAAAUAGCCCCCAAACCAAAUCCUAAUCAUUCCCAAACAGGUAAAUAUCCUUCCAAAUGUCUAUAGCAACCUAUCGAUAAUUUAUGCCAUCAGUUAUUCCAUUCUCAACAUUUCUUCACAAUCCACAAAUAAGAAAUAGUCUGCAUAUGAGGACAUCCAGCCCAAAACCUCAUGAAUACCGUAAUUUCCAUACCCGGCCUUAACUAUGCUACUCCAAUGGCUGACAUAUCAGUCACACCCCAUCAUCUUGCGAAAACACCCAUAUAGAUUUUUCGGGCCGCAUAACAAAACUUGAACCUCAGAAGCCUCAAAACCCAGUAAUCACCAUACCACUAGCCAAGCAUCUGCAAACCAAAACACAAGGUGCCUUUCUAAAAUGCACGAUCUUCACAUAUGAUAUCCAAUAAUGCCAACAUUCUAUUAACUUCUGAUAUCCGUCCAAGAGAAGACCGUAAUGUACAACAUAUUCCUUAUGCUCGUAGCAGACAACCGACUCAAGCUGUGGCCGACACUAUCAAGAACUCUCCGAGACCCGCCCGCAUGUAACUAAGCCAUCAUGACCGCAUCUCCCCAACUUAACCGAGUCACACAAAUCGUCCAACCCAAGAGUACUGCCACAAACGCUGGCAGAGGAUUUCCAUCCAAAAAGGACCAAUUAUUUCCAUUGCUAUGCUGACCCAACACCACAGAGCUGACCUAUUUCUUCAGAUACUCCUCGUCUUUCCUCUGGGGUAACACUUCUUCCUGUCGAUACACAACGACCCCAAACAAAACUCAAUGCAGAAAAUCCUAGUACAAACUACGUAGCCCAGAAGCUCAUAAACCACUGUAUUUCCUUAGAAGCACCCCAUAAUUCCCCAACCGAGAUGCCCACCCUGAAUAGACCUUCUUUGAAUCUGAAGUUAUUUCUCGGACCCGCUUGAUACUGAAAUGUAGAUUUAUAAAUGAUGCAUAAAUGCAAAUUUCAGGAAACCUUUCAAUACCGUAUACAUACACCCCAGGCCAAACCUGAUACAACACCUUACCCUGGAAGCUGCUCGUUGAUAGAGGACUCCCCCACUUGGCGCGAAGCCAUAGGACACAACAUCCGAUGAUUCACAAACUCUUGACAGUCAAACUCGCUUCCUCUAGUGCCUCGAAUGAUAAUAUGUACCUUUCACUAAAUAGAAAUCCCAUACGAACCACAUAGUCUCUAAUACCACCAACUAUCCUCAAUCAACAUCCACCUCGUGACCCUACCACGAUCGCGACCACUAGUCAACCAAUUAAACCUUCCCAAGCUUGUACUUAUCAUCCAAAUGCCAGAACCCGCUCCACCCCCACGUGAAAAACUAAAUAGGGUCUCAAUACCUUCGCAUCCUCGGUCUGGACGAUACGUUGAGACAAUAUUUGAGCAUCCCUGACUCCCUCGUAGCCCAUCCGCAACAUCACGAACUGCUGGUGCAUAGCUGGUACCGAGUGCGCAACACCAUACACGAGUGGAUGCAAAGGAACAUAAGACAUAUGCUUCGAUCUGAAUCAAUGUCACACGAUAAGGAUUGAAAGAAGUGGAAUUUCCUAAUAGUUUCUGUAGCCUCUCAAAGAUAAGUACAGACGUCUCUGUACCGAUCCGCAAGACUCUACUAAACCUGCUUAUGACUCGUAGCACCUAUGAACCAAGAGCUCUGAUAUCAACUUAUCACACAUAUCGAAAUGAUAACAAAUUCUACUAAACAGAUGUUGAACAUGAACCCGAAAUUUCUAAAUAAACCAAUAGUCUCAACAUGAUACAAUAUCCCAAAAUCGAUAGUACAAGUCAUAAGCCUUUCUAGGAGUAGUUAUACAUAACGAAUACAUCAUUGUUCCGGAUUAAUAGGAAAUAAUGGAAAUAAUUACAAUAGAAGGUGACUUCGAAACCUACGAAUGUCCAGCAGGUAUACCUUGAAGUCUCCAUCAGCACAAGCAUGAAUCUAAAAACCAACUCGAUCCGAAGUACCUGGUUCUGCACAAAAAUCUGCAGAAGCAUAGCAUGAGUACACCACAGUGGUACCCAGUAAGUUUCAAGCCUAACCUCGGUAGAGUAGUGACGAGGCCAGAUCAAGACACCUACCGAACAUGUUAACCUGUGCAGGAUAUGACAUAAAGCUAACAAGGAAUGAAUAUCAAUGUAAUGCCAAUAGCAGAAAGAAUUCAGAUUACAAACAGUAGUAAAGAUAAGGGGGACACGAAUGGCAAUGAUAAAUAACCAAGUAAUUAAGCAGCAACAUAGUCGGGGUACGGAUGUAGUAUAAAUGUGCUCAAGUAGGGAAAACGAUGUCAACUCAACCAAUCAAAUUAUUUCUAGUACACAAUUUCAACAAUCCCACUUCUCGUAAUCUCAUAUCAGAAAUCACAACUUCCAAUACUUUAACACACAUGGCACCUUGUGCCCACAUUUUCCAUCUCACUUCGCACGGCAAAAUCCACGUGCUACUCGGUAUAUAAUAUUUGUGACCAAUGCUAAUUAGGAUGUUAAAGAGAUUUUAUUUAUAUAUCGUAUAGUAAAAUUACAGUUUCUGAAUUAAGGAGGAAAUCAAUGAGAAAAAUGAGUUUAUUAUAGAAAUUAUUUGGGUGAAGAAAAUUACAUUUUCAAAUAAAAUACAACAUCGGAUAAGCUACUAAAUUUAAUAUAGAAUUUAUUAAAUUAAAACAUAAUAACAAUUCAUUUUUAAGUAAAGUAAACACAUCAGACAUGGUAAGGAGAUUAAGUUGAGAAAUCAAUUAAAGUAAAAUAUGACAACUAUUAGAAAUGGUAAAGUACCGAAUAAAACGACGAGUUUUAACUUAAAAGUCACAUAAGGUAAGCAUGUUAUUACUUCUUUUAUUUAAAAUCGCUAUAUUACUAACAACUCAGCAGGAUAUGAGGUAAUGACUCAGCGUAGUAAAUACAUCUUGAAAUCAAUUCACCAAAUUAAUAGUAUUAGGAAAAGCAUUCAGGAAAUGACGGCAAUACAAUAAAUUAAUGACAACAACUCAAUCUUGGGAAACCAAAGAAAACCGAAAAUACAAAUUCUCUGAGUCUCGUACGAACGAACCGAAGCCUGUACAAUACAACAGGGAAUACAAAACACAUAAACUGUUGCGGUGCGCAACCCGAUCCUACCGUAUAAUACUAUUCAUCCUUAUUCCAACGUGUGAAAAUCAAUAGUUAUAAAUAAAUAUAUGUUGCGGCGCGGAACCCGAUCCCGCCUUAUAAUCAGAGUCAAUAUCAUAAUUCACUCUUAUUUCACCAUAUCAAUUCACUCUUAUUUCACCUGUUGCGACGUGCAACCCGAUCCCACCAUACAAUAUCAAUAUCAUAAUUCACCCUUAUGCUUAUUUCACAUGUUGCGGCAUGCAACCUGAUCCCCCGUACAAUAAAUUAAAUCAACAACAACAAUUCAAUAACUCAAUUUAUAAGAAUUUCUACAAUCAAGGGUAUGAGUACACGACAAAAAAGGAACCACGUAAAAAUCAAAGGAAUAAAACAAACUCUACAAAAAUGACAGGACAGGUAAGGCACGCGAUAACUAGGUAUGCGAUCACAACAAUUAUGACAUGUAGCAGAUAAGGACAGAGUCAUUAAAGAAAUUCAACUAUUAAGAGUUAACAAGAUAAUAAGGAAGGUAAUAACUUCAACUAAGGCUAUAAGGGUCAAAUAUCGAGUAAGAGGUACAAUAAGUGCUAACAGCGUCAAAUAGAACAUGUAAGAGUAGACUAACAACGAGAUAUCACAUGUUAUGACCAUUCAAUUAAAGGCAUGGGAAGAGACUAGAUACUCUGAACCGGUCCAUUACCACAUAUAGACUGUGUACUCACUCGUCACCUUGCGUAUACGACUUUCACAUAACAAGAUAGCACAAUUAACUCAAUUCCUAAGGGGUAGUUUCCCCCCACAUAAAGUUAGACAAGACACUUACCUUAAAGAAGCUAGACCGAUACUCUAAAAUGACCUACUCGAGUGAAAUAAGCUCCGGACGACUCAAAUCUAGCCAAAAUAACUUCAAAUUAUAAAUAAAACUCAUAGAAAAUAAUUCUGGAUAAUAAAGUUUCAAUCUUUAACAAAAACUAAAAAGUCAACCCAAAAGUCACCCCCGAUACCGCAUCUCAAAACCCGAUAAAAUUUAUAAAACCCAAACAUUCAUUCCGAUACGAGUUCAACCAUACCAAAAUUAUCAAAUUCCGACAUCAAUUCGCCUUUCAAAUCAUUAUUUUGCAUUUUGAAUGAUUUUACAAAUUUUCCCCAAAAUUUUUAACUUAAUUCACUAAUUAAAGGAUGAAAAUAACCAUGGAUUCAUGAAAUAUAAUAAGAUUCGGGUAGAGAUAACUUACCCUAAUGAAUUACUUGAAAAACUCACAAAACAUCUCCCAAAACCGAGGUCUACAACUCCCAAAAUGAUAAAAAUGGCUAACCCUCGAAAUAUAGUUCUUAUAUUUCUGCCUAGACAUUCCUCAUACGUGAUCGCGGAACAAGCAUCGCGAUCGCGAAGUACAAAACUGCUGCCCAGGGAAUACAAGCUUCGCGUUCGCGGCAUAUACCUUGCGAACGCGAUGAACAAUAAUGCAAGGCUAUGCGAACGCAUCCAUUUUUUCGCGAACGCGUUGAGGAAAUACUCCACCAGCCCCAGUUGCCUUACGCGGACGCGUAAACAAGCACGCAAAUGCGAACAACAAACAGCUAGAGCUUUGCGAACGCAUGAGCACCAUCGCGUCCGCGAUAAACAAAUCACUGAUCCCCCAGAACCACUUCGCGAUCGCGAAGAACAAACGGGCACACCAGAAACCAGCAAUUCAAAACAUGAAAAAAAUGGCAUGUAGCCCAUCUGAAACACACCCGAGGCCCCCGGGACCCCGUCGAAAUAUAUCAACAAGUUCCAUAACAUAACCCGGACUCGCCCGUGGUCUCAAAUCAUAUCAAACAAUAUCGAAACUAUGAAUCAUACUACGAAUUGAACUUAUGAAUUUUCAAAUCUUCUAACUUCCAAAACUCGCGCCGAAAUAUAUCAAAUCAACCCGGAAUGAUGUCAAAUUUUGCAUGCAAUUUCCAAAUGACAUAACGGAGCUAAUCCAACUAUCGGAAUCGUAUUCCGACCCCGAUAUCAUCAAAAUCCACUCUCGGUCAAACCUCUCUACCUUCCAAAACUUCAACUUUCCAAUUUCGCCGAAAUGCUUCAAAUUACCCUACGAACCUCCAAAUCCAAAUCCGGAUGCAUGCCUAAGACAAAAAUCACCAUUCGGGCCUAUCUGAACCAUCAAAACUCCAAUUCGAGGUCAAGUACUCAAAAGUCAAACCUUGGUUAAUUCUUUCAACUUCGAGCUUCUCAAAUGAGAGUCACUCCUUAAAAUCCUUUCCAAAUUCUCAAAAACCCAAGCCGAUGAUGCACGCAAGUCAUAAUACACUUUGUGAAGCUACUCGUGACCUCAAGCUACCGAACCGGAUGCAAUUGCUCAAAACGACCAUUCGGGUCGUUACAUUUCCUAAUAGCAAGUGUAUGAAUAAACCAAAAAGUUUAAAGGCUAAACUUGAGCAACGUCGAAUAGUACAGUCAAAAAUUUAGUCGUUUUCCCAUAAUAUAAUUUAGACCAUUUAUUAUACUCUCUUAUAUAUUCUUCCUCUUCUAUCAUCCGACAUUGUACACCAAUCUUAGUAGAUCUCAAAAAAAUUGAUUUGCUAUUGUUUGUUGUUUGCAGUAAAUGGGCCGUUUAGUCUAUGAUCAAGCUUCAUCAUGGUUAACGCAGUUUUUCAAAAGGAUGAACCAUAUGUGCAUCUAAUUCAGAGCAUCAAAACAAUGAGUUGUUCAAGCACUAGUGUGGAAGAUGUUAUAUGCUUUCAAAACCUCCUUGCACGCAUGUGCCAUCCAGUUCUAGGAUUUAUAUGUGGAAUUGUGGAUUGAAAAACUUCUCUGCAUUUUUCUUCCACAGAAAUUUGAUUUUGUCCAAAUCAAUUCCACAAAUAGAAUAAUGAGGCUUGAGUUAGUGCAAUUGUUUAAUUGAUAGGAGAAAGGUUAAGUCAUGGUGAAUCUUAGAGUGAAAAAAUAGUUAGAGACAACACACAACUGGCUAGAAGAAAAUAGAAAUUUGUCUUAAGAGAAAGCAUUGUUGGGGUACAUAUUAUUAACUAUGCAUUUAAAUAUAUUAUAUUCUAACACUUGCCAUAGUUAAAAGUCUAAGCAGGAGAUUGUUGGGAUAUAUACUAUUAAUCAUGUGUUUACAUAUAGUAUUUAUUAUAAAAUAAUUAUGUAUUUAAUUAUAAUAAAGAUUUAAAGAGAUCAUGUAUUUGUGUAUAAGUUUUAAUUAUAGUAGAUGAUUUAAUGUAUAGAGUUUAACUUAUUCAUAGAAGAUUAAAUCAUCGGUUCUUAUAAAUUAUAAAGAUUAUGUUCACAAUAUAAUUAUGGAAUGGGACAAGCCAUCAGAAUGAUUGUAAUUAAAGAUUAAAUAUAAUUUAUAUUGAUCAUGAAAAUGCUAUAAUUUUGACUUCUUGUGAUAGUACAUUUUAUAUGUUUUGUACAUAUCAAGUAGAGAUAGGUAUUUUGCACUAACUUAAUAAAAUAAAUUCUCUUGUCCAUCAAGUGUACUUAUACUAUUAAUCUUGAUAUAAUUAGUAUUAGCUAUGUGUAUUAUUUAAUAUUUUGAUUUAUUAAAAGGUGAGAUUCUGUUCUUGUAAUAUGCCUCAUAAGUUGGAUGAUAGAAAUAUAUAUAUUGGCGAAGUAAUAGUUAGUUUAUGAAAUCAUAUCUUGGUCUAGAGAUUGAUGAUACACCUUUACGAAAGCUUAUAAAUUUUCAUGUGUAAAUCUUGCAGGUUAAUUUUAUAUCUGUCACAUGAAAUAAGUUAAGAGAAAAAAAAAAAUAAUUAACGAAUUAAAUAAUCAGUAAUUUAAUUUAUUUGAUUAGUAACUGAAACUUAACAUAUGAAAUUAAAUAAGGUUUAAUAAGAAAAUUUUAAAAUUGAACUGAGAAGUGCAAUAAUAAACUUUUAGUGGAAUAAUUCUCAGUUUAUUAUGGUAGAAUUAAUUUCAACAUUUCAUAUUAAGUAUAUAUAGGAAGCCUCGUCAAUUGAAUUCAGAAGUCCCCGCUAUGCCUGAUUAGAAUUAAAUGAAUUUCGUUUUCUUGACAAAUAUAACGAACCAAUCGACCAUUUUGAUUGUAGAAUCACAUUUCCCUCUCUGAGAUUUUUCAUAGGUUCAUUUGAUGUUUAUUACUUGCGGAUAUGUAUGGAACGGGACCCAAGAAGUUUAGGAGUUAUAUAAAAAAAUUCUUAGUCCCUAACUAAAGGCCUUAAGUAAAGAGAGUUUACCAAAGUCAAUAUUUUUAGCUAAACAAUCUCAGAUUCGUUAUUUGGAUGUUCUGAUAGGUUUGUACGUUAAAUUUGGACUUAUACGUAUGUUCGAUUUGGCGCCCGAGGGAAUCAAAUGCGAUUCGAUCAUAUCUUGUGCAAGAUGGAACUUGAAGAACUUAAGAAAAUUCAUAUUUUAGUUUCGAUCUUGAUUUUUAGUUGUAGUAUUUUCGGAUGUGUUUUAAGCCCUUGGACAAGUUCGUAUAGGGUAUACAAAGUAGUAAGGAUGAUUGGACGGGAUUCCGUGGGGCUCAGGUGAAUUUUAGAGUAAUCAGAUGAUGAUUUUGUAAUGAGAAAACUAUAGAAAAUGGUAGCAGACAUUGACGGCAUCCGCCCUCUGUUGCAGCACCUGGGGAGGGACAGAGCUAGGACACAUCAUGUCCCAACUGGCGCCAAUGCCUAGUCAAAUUUUGCUGAAAUUUCUUUUUUUCCAUAUAUAGCCCCAUUUCGUAUAAACACUUUAUUUUAUCAUAUUGGGAGCUACAUAGUACAAAAUUUGGGGAUUUUUUUAGAGAUUUCAACUACAUAAUUAGGGUAAAAAAAUCUAACCUAGAACUAUGGUUAUAACCUAGACCCCAUGUACUCAACAAGUAUUAUAACUAACCUCGACGAGGUAAUAGAAGCAAAAUUAUAAAUGAUACUCGUCAAUCACCUGUACAUGUUCAUAAAUUCUAAAAAGUAUAGAACAUAAAUAUGAUCAAAAAUUAUGAAAUCAUGGAUAAAAUCGCCUUGGUGCUCACAUAUAUUUUUAACAUAUUCUGCUUAGUUAAUAACCCAGCAUAUAAAGAAGAUAUGCAAAUAAACAGGGUAAAUAGGCAAGGAAAUUGCAAGUAAGUAUGAAAUGGAACAACCAAAUAUCACUCUAUUUCGGCGCGCCCGAUCCAAAAAAAAAUCACAUCACGACUCUCAGGCCCACAUCAGAAUCUCAGUAACCGAACCAAACAAAUAACCAGCUUUCCCAGAGCUCAUAUCAAGCAGAAACUCAUCGGUUUCUCAUAAUCCGUGUGUACACCAUCAAGAAGGCACAUGAGAGGGUGACCCUGGGGAGAUGGAUCCAUAUCCACAUAUUGCACGGCGUAGUCAGGUGCAAAUAGGCCGAUAUGGUCACAUGCUCAAUAUCAUAAUCCGUCCAAAGUGGUCACAAGCUCAAUAUCACAGAUCCGCCUGGCGUGGUCACAAGCUAAGUAUCUCAAUACGUCCGUCGUGGUCACAUGCAUAAUAUAACAAUCCGCUCAUCGUGGUCACUUGCACAAUAUCAUAUUUCGCCCAGCGUGAUCACAUGCACAAUAUCAUAAUCUGCCCAGCGUGGUCACAUGAACAAUAUCAUAAUCCGCCUGGCGUGGUCACAUUCUACCAGUCCAAAUCAUAUCACACAGAAAGCAAAUAUACAAGAAAAUAUGUAUAUGAUCAAUGAAUAUAAAAUUUCAUACUCCUUGACUGGUAUAAGUGACAUGCUAAUGUGUAUGCAUAUGUAAGUGUGAUAUCAUAGCUCAAAUAAGGAAAAUACAUCACAA
Molecule: long non-coding RNA, 20129 nt
Filed under: Nicotiana tabacum (common tobacco)
Lineage: Eukaryota; Viridiplantae; Streptophyta; Magnoliopsida; Solanales; Solanaceae
Description: long non-coding RNA (NTAB_LNC008558)
Source: RNAcentral